GAUGAACGCUGACGGAAUGCUUAACACAUGCAAGUCUACUUGAACUUCGGUUUGGGUGGCGGACGGGUGAGUAACGCGUAAAGAACUUGCCUCACAGAUAGGGACAACAUUUGGAAACGAAUGCUAAUACCUGAUAUUAUGAUUUUAGGGCAUCCUAGAAUUAUGAAAGCUAUAUGCACUGUGAGAGAGCUUUGCGUCCCAUUAGCUAGUUGGAGAGGUAACGGCUCACCAAGGCGAUGAUGGGUAGCCGGCCUGAGAGGGUGAUCGGCCACAAGGGGACUGAGACACGGCCCUUACUCCUACGGGAGGCAGCAGUGGGGAAUAUUGGACAAUGGACCAAGAGUCUGAUCCAGCAAUUCUGUGUGCACGAUGAAGUUUUUCGGAAUGUAAAGUGCUUUCAGUUGGGAAGAAAAAAAUGACGGUACCAACAGAAGAAGUGACGGCUAAAUACGUG
Molecule: ribosomal RNA, 454 nt
Filed under: uncultured bacterium
Lineage: Bacteria
Description: partial 16S ribosomal RNA
Rfam family: Bacterial small subunit ribosomal RNA
Source: RNAcentral